This 583-nucleotide ribosomal RNA is filed under the name proteobacterium StTD361. Its description in RNAcentral is "bacterial SSU rRNA". It matches the Rfam family "Bacterial small subunit ribosomal RNA", at positions 102 to 681 of the family's 1533-position model. The record is from RNAcentral. Lineage: Bacteria; Pseudomonadati; Pseudomonadota.
ACGGGUGAGUAAUACAUCGGAACGUGCCCAGUAGUGGGGGAUAGCCCGGCGAAAGCCGGAUUAAUACCGCAUACGACCUACGGGUGAAAGCGGGGGAUCGCAAGACCUCGCGCUAUUGGAGCGGCCGAUGUCAGAUUAGCUAGUUGGUGGGGUAAAAGCCUACCAAGGCGACGAUCUGUAGCUGGUCUGAGAGGACGACCAGCCACACUGGGACUGAGACACGGCCCAGACUCCUACGGGAGGCAGCAGUGGGGAAUUUUGGACAAUGGGCGCAAGCCUGAUCCAGCCAUGCCGCGUGUGGGAAGAAGGCCUUCGGGUUGUAAACCACUUUUGUCAGGGAAGAAACGGUCUGAUCUAAUAAAUCGGACUAAUGACGGUACCUGAAGAAUAAGCACCGGCUAACUACGUGCCAGCAGCCGCGGUAAUACGUAGGGUGCAAGCGUUAAUCGGAAUUACUGGGCGUAAAGCGUGCGCAGGCGGCUAUGCAAGACAGAUGUGAAAUCCCCGGGCUCAACCUGGGAACUGCAUUUGUGACUGCAUGGCUAGAGUACGGUAGAGGGGGAUGGAAUUCCGCGUGUAGCAG